CCACAAAAUUAAAAAAAAAAAAAAUACUUUUUGUAUUAUCCAUGCAAAAGUUUAUUUUUUUUUUUUAAUUUUG
Plasmodium vivax (malaria parasite P. vivax) is the source of this 73-nucleotide non-coding RNA. NCBI's taxonomy places the organism in Eukaryota, Apicomplexa, Aconoidasida, Haemosporida, Plasmodiidae. The record is from the annotation of a RefSeq genome assembly.